Molecule: ribosomal RNA, 469 nt
Filed under: uncultured bacterium
Lineage: Bacteria
Description: partial 16S ribosomal RNA
Rfam family: Bacterial small subunit ribosomal RNA
Source: RNAcentral
GACGAACGCUGGCGGCGUGCUUAACACAUGCAAGUCGAACGGAAAGGCCCUGCUUGCAGGGUGCUCGAGUGGCGAACGGGUGAGUAACACGUGGGUGAUCUGCCCCUUACUUUGGGAUAAGCCUGGGAAACUGGGUCUAAUACUGGAUAGGACCAUGCUGUAGGUGGUGUGUUGGAAAGUUUAUUUUCGGUAAGGGAUGAGCUCGCGGCCUAUCAGCUUGUUGGUGGGGUAAUGGCCUACCAAGGCGUCGCCGGGUAGCCGGCCUGAGAGGGUGGACGGCGACAUUGGGACUGAGAUACGGCGCAGACGCCUACGGGAGGCAGCAGUGGGGAAUAUUGCACAAUGGGCGCGAGCCUGAUGCAGCGACGCCGCGUGGGGGAUGACGGCCUUCGGGUUGUGAACUCCUUUCAGGCAUGACGAAACCCUUGUGGUGACGGUAGUGGUAGAAGAAGCACCGGCUAACUACGUG